GACGAACGCUGGCGGCGUGCCUAAUACAUGCAAGUCGAGCGAACAGACGCGGAGCUUGCUCCUCUGACGUUAGCGGCGGACGGGUGAGUAACACGUGGAUAAUCUACUUAUAAGUCUGGGAUAACUUCGGGAAACCGGAGCUAAUACCGGAUGAUAUAUUGAACCGCGUGGUUCAUUAGUGAAAGACGGUUUUGCUGUCACUUAUAGAUGGAUCCGCGCCGCAUUAGCUAGUUGGUAGGGUAACGGCUUACCAAGGCGACGAUGCGUAGCCGACCUGAGAGGGGGAUCGGCCACACUGGAGGUGAGCCGCGGUCCAGACGACUACGAGAGGCAGCAGUAGGGAAUCUUACGCAACGGGCGGAAGCCUGACGGAGCAGCGCCGCGUGAGUGGUGAAGGUCUUCGGAGCGUAAAGAUCUGUUAUUGGGGGAGAACAAAUGUGUAAGUAACUGUGCACGUCUUGACGGUACCUGGUCAGAAAGCCACGGCUAACUACGUG
Molecule: ribosomal RNA, 497 nt
Filed under: uncultured bacterium
Lineage: Bacteria
Description: partial 16S ribosomal RNA
Rfam family: Bacterial small subunit ribosomal RNA
Source: RNAcentral